This 460-nucleotide ribosomal RNA is filed under the name uncultured bacterium. RNAcentral's name for it is "partial 16S ribosomal RNA". It matches the Rfam family "Bacterial small subunit ribosomal RNA", at positions 338 to 795 of the family's 1533-position model. The record is from RNAcentral.
CCUACGGGUGGCAGCAGUGAGGAAUAUUGGUCAAUGGGCGUAAGCCUGAACCAGCCAAGUCGCGUGAGGGAUGCAGGUCCUACGGAUUGUAAACUUCGUUUAUAAGGGAAUAAAGUGCGUGACGUGUUCCGUUUUGUAUGUACCGUAUGAAUAAGGAUCGACUAACUCCGUUCCAGCAGCCGCGGUAAUACGGAGGGUCCGAUCGUUAUCCGGAUGUAUUGGGUGUAAAGGGAGCGUCGGCGGGAUGUUAAGUCAGCGGUGAAAGGCUGUGGCUCAACACUGCAAUUGCCGUUGAAACUGGGAGAGUGGAGUAUGGUAGAGGCAGGCGGAAUGCGUGGUGUAGCGGUGAAAUGCUUAGAUAUCACGAAGAACACCGAUUGCGAAGGCAGCAUGCUAGGCCAUAACUGACGCUGAGGCACGAAAGCGUGGGGAGCAAACAGGAUUAGAUACCCGGGUAGUC